ACAAGUACCCGUGAGGGAAAGUUGAAAAGAACUUUGAAGAGAGAGUUCAAAAGGGCGUGAAACCGCUUAGAAUAAAACGGACGGAGCCGUCUGUGACCCGUCGGAAUCAGUCGAAUCGACGCGUGAAAGCGAGUGCGACGAGAAAACGGAACGAAAGUCCGGUCGUCUCGUAGUAAAUAGUAGCGCUCGUUCGAUGCAUUUCCGAAGGGUAAGCACCGCGACCGAUGUCGAAGGCUAGUGAAACCGUCGGAUUGAGGUCGAGCUCGUUCGCGAGUCUCGUUACCAGUCCUUCGGUAUGAAUAGAAUUCGCUAGACCCUAGCAUCGAGAAUAAGAUAGCGAACGUCGGUGAACUAUACGCUCACCCGAUACGAUGGAUGUGCGGCCGUUCGAUCGUCGCCUGCUUGCAGGUUACGGUUAGUAAUCAGGUUCGUAUCUGAAGUCGUGGGUGACGUUUCGAUGUUCAGGAGUCCGCGGUGUCCGAGUCGGUCACCCGUCCGACCCGUCUUGAAACACGGACCAAGGAGUCUAACGUAAGCGCGAGCUAAUGGGUGGAAAACCUAUAAGCGCAAUAAAAGUAAAAGCCGUUUCGGACGGCCGAGGUACGAUCCCGAAGAACCAAGUAUCUUCGGGCGCAGUACCGUCCCGUCCCGACCGCUUGUCGGUAGGGCGGAGAUAGAGUGCAUACGUUGGGACCCGAAAGAUGGUGAACUAUGCCUGAGCAGAGCGAAGCCAGAGGAAACUCUGGUGGAGGUUCGUAGCGGUUCUGACGUGCAAAUCGAUCGUCAGACUUGGGUAUA
RNAcentral lists this ribosomal RNA (798 nucleotides) under Xiphinema israeliae. RNAcentral describes it as "eukaryotic LSU rRNA". It matches the Rfam family "Eukaryotic large subunit ribosomal RNA", at positions 344 to 919 of the family's 3401-position model. The record is from RNAcentral. Lineage: Eukaryota; Metazoa; Nematoda; Enoplea; Dorylaimida; Longidoridae.